CCGUGCUAGAUGGGGAGGUAGCGGUGCCCUGUAACCUGCAAUCCGCUAUAGCAGGAUCGAUGCCCAGUUGCGGCGUUAUAUUGUAGGGUCUGCCCUGGAUAAGUGGUGUUGACAAAUGGGUCCUGCGCAACGGAAAUCUAUGAACCCCGUCAGGUCCGGGAGGAAGCAGCGGUAAGUAGACACUUCCGUGUGCCGCAGGGGCGCCUGUUUCGAGCUAACUGUCCAGGUAACGCUUGUAAUAUAGCGACAAGGCUGGGUGCACGG
This 264-nucleotide signal recognition particle RNA is filed under the name Tissierellia bacterium. RNAcentral's name for it is "signal recognition particle sRNA large type". It matches the Rfam family "Bacterial large signal recognition particle RNA". From Rfam's summary of the family: The signal recognition particle (SRP) is a universally conserved ribonucleoprotein involved in the co-translational targeting of proteins to membranes. Archaeal SRP consists of a 7S RNA and homologues of the eukaryotic SRP19 and SRP54 proteins. The record is from RNAcentral. Lineage: Bacteria; Bacillati; Bacillota; Tissierellia.